UGGCUACGAAUUGAUGAUGCAUGUACAUAAAGAAGAUGAUCCAUCAAGGAAUUCUCGUGGAAUUAAUUCCUUAAAUUGGCUGCGGGUGCGUCCUGCAGUCCAUCAUCAAUGUCUUGCAUAUAGUCUACUAGGCUGUAACUGGGCGAAGCAGCAAGAAACCUUCCCCGGCUGUUUCAGCUGGAUGCAGUGCGUGUCCCAAAGUAAUUGGAUGGAUUCUCGAGCCUUCUAACCCCAGCCCAGCUGCUUCCACUCUUUGCUCACCCAAGUCCUUCCUUUUAGCCUACGCUUAAAAAGUCAAGUUGCUUAAAGAAGUCUAGUUAAAAAGUUGUAAUAGUAGUGUUUAGUUUUGGAUGAUUGCCAGCCAGCCAAUUCAAUCACUUCCAGAUACACGUAGCAUGGAAUAUCAUCCAUCUUCUCUCUCUCUCUCUCUCUUAUAUAUUCAACGCCUUGCACUACCAUAUCAUGCCUUCUUUUCUGCUGCUUAAUAUUACUCCGUCAAUCAUCGAUUCAUCGUCACCGGAGCGGUGUUAUCCAGAGUUCAGUCUCACCAAACCUUCUUGUGUUAUCUCUCUCUCUCUCUCUCUCUCUCUCUCUCUUUCUUGUUUUCGCAGUACCAGUCUUACCUGUUGUUGUUAACUUGUUAUAGGAUAGAAAUUUGGGAUGUAGUCAAACAAUAGAGCGUCUCAGAGUUUUAAGGCGGGGUUUCCGAAGCCACAUCCGCAUAAUAUAGACAGAUACGAUGGAAUCAUCAUCAUACAAGGAAGGCAGAGAUGCAGCAGAGUAUAAGAGAAGAUUCCCGAGGAGAGUACUGGGGACGUGGAUAUCUUGCCUGGCUUCAUUUUCAGUAAGCAUGGUAGGCGGGCUAAUGUUGACCCAUUGGGAGCUCAGGCAUCAUCGCACCAACAGUCAACUAUGGAUGGUGCCCUUCGGCCUCAUUUUGUUGGUCACUCCCGCAAUUGUUUGGUUGUCAAUUUUCAUCUCACAUAUAUUCAGCUCCAAUGAAGGUGAAGAAGAUCAUAAAGAUGGUGGCGACCUGCACCCAGCAGUUGACACCACGGUCGUUAUAUCCUCUGAUGAUCCCGACAGAUGAUGCAUAAAAUUCAUCAAUCGGAUUUUGAUUUCGGCGGUGAGUCCCACCUUCUCUUCCCCCCAUCACCAUCCAUCCAUCUUCCCCACACCCUCUGUCCCCCAGCAAGAGAGAGAGAGAGAGAGAGAGAGUGAAUAUCAUCAGAGGAUGGGUUGGUCUUGUUCUGUGGAUUUAUUUAAUGAGAUUGUUGCUAGUUGCUACGCAAAAAAAAAAAAAAAAAAACAGCAGCCAACAGGAAAAGAAUCCUCUUAGAUACAGAUAAACUCCAACAUGCUCCAUGAAAAUAGGGGGAUUAAAAUUGCUACUGGCAUCUAUCGUUCUAACAAAUCGAGAUUACUCAGGGAGCAGCGGCAUUUUUAUUUACGAGAAGUAACUGAGUUGAAUAUUCGAAUAUUCAAUAAGAAGUUUUUGUAGCUUGUUCAAGUUCAACUGCUUCUGCUUCUGUACCGGACGCAGACUGUUGAGCAUUUUUACGACGAUUUGCCUUUCUCCACCACCCGAAGGUGGGCAGCCAGCCCGCUCUCCUUCUCCUGCACUUGCACAGACCUACCCAAUCCAAUAAAAUAAGCAACUACUAAGUACUGAUUAACGCGGGCCGGAAGGCAGGCAUCUUCCUGUGCACUGCCGUCGAAUAUUCAGUUGGUACUGUUUGUUUAUAAGAGUACUGACUGGUAGCGUCAUUUUGGCAUAGUACUAUUACAAUUAUUUACCAACUGGGGGCGUUGGUUUACAGAGUAGGAAGGAGGAGUACAUUAGGUAGUAGAAGCCUGGAACGGACGUGGCCUUCACCAGGGAGACAGUAGUACCACCCAAGUUUCAAUAUGUCAACGCAAACUUCCUUCUCUAAAACCAAGCUUCCUUCUUGGUCAGUCUACAGAAAGAUCUACUAGGAGAGUAAGAACCAAAAAGGAAAGAUAUUGUAGAGGCCGGAUGGAAUUAAAAUAUUCCAUUCCUCUGCUCCUGUUUCAUAAUCAUACAGCCUUCAAGAAAACAACACCCCAGACGCUAACACCACAUAGCGAACCCACCAACACUCACUACAACCCCCACCCCCAACACCAGAAAAAAAAAAAAAGAGAGAGAGAGAGAGAGGAAGAAUAUAAGCUCAACCUCGUACUCGUAGUGGCUUGUAUAAGACAGACAGACAGACAGACCGAUUUAAUAGGAUAACAACCUUAGCGCCAUGAAAAAGACUACAUUGUUAGUAGUGGGUCAACCAUACACCCAAAAACUCCAUAAAUGGGGGAGAGCAUGAUACCUGCAAGUAAAAAUACAUCCUGUAUUCUAGUGAUUGAACAGGUAAGAGUGGUUGCAGUUUUCCUUCAUCCUUCAUCAACGCAAGAAAUACAGCAAAGAACGCCACCAUGCCCAAUUUUUUUUAAAAAAAAAUGUGUCCUACGCAAACAUCCGCAAUAAAGCUCAAUGCAAGACACAAUAUUCACCAGCAAAUUUAAUUCUGCCCAGUCCCCCAGCGUUGAGGAUGAGUAGCAAUCCCCUUGCUAGUUGCUCCUAUUUCAUAAUGGUGUUCCCCAAAGUGGCUAUUCAUUGCACUCUACGUCUUAUCUUAAAGCAAAUAUCCAAAUAAAACCCACUAUCACAAUUCUCCAAAUGCAAGCUAUUCUAAAGUAACAGGUAUCUUUCAGCUGCCCAAAUAUGGUUUAAAAAGAACAUACAUAUUCUAAAUGAUUUGUAAUGUACGGAACAAAUGCUAUGACCAGAUAUUACAGCGCCCCCCCCCCCUCUCCCCAAAAACAAAAACAAAAAAAAAAAA
Coffea arabica (coffee) is the source of this 2858-nucleotide non-coding RNA. NCBI's taxonomy places the organism in Eukaryota, Viridiplantae, Streptophyta, Magnoliopsida, Gentianales, Rubiaceae. The record is from RefSeq and is a predicted model, not a curated record.